RNAcentral lists this ribosomal RNA (263 nucleotides) under uncultured bacterium. Its description in RNAcentral is "partial 16S ribosomal RNA". It matches the Rfam family "Bacterial small subunit ribosomal RNA", at positions 793 to 1055 of the family's 1533-position model. The record is from RNAcentral.
GUCCGCACCGUAAACGAUGGUCACUAGAUGUCGGGGGAUUCGACCCCUUCGGUAUCGACGCUAACGCAUUAAGUGACCCACCUGGGGAGUACGCUCGCAAGGGUGAAACUCAAAGGAAUUGACGGGGGCCCGCACAAGCGGUGGAGCAUGUGGUUUAAUUCGAUGCAACGCGAAGAACCUUACCUGGGCUCGAAGUGUGAUGUAAACUCGUGAAAGCGGGGUAUCCCUUCGGGGACGUCAUAUAGGUGCUGCAUGGCUGUCGU